GACGAACGCUGGCGGCGUGCUUAAUACAUGCAAGUCGAACGAAGAGCGACGGAAGCUUUCCUCUAUCAAUCUUAGUGGGGAACGGGGGAGUAACGCGCAUUCAACCUGCCCUUCAGAGUGGGACAACAGAUGGCAACGACUGCUAAUACCCCAUACGAUCUAAUCUCGCCAUCUGGACUGGAUGGAAGGUGGCCUCUUUUUAUAAGCUCUCACUUCAGGAUAGGAAUGUGGCUGAUUAGCUAGCCGCCGGGGCAACGGCCCACCGAUGGGAUGAUCAGUAGCCGGUCUGAGAGGAUGAGAGGCCACAUUGGGACGGGGACACGGCCGAGAACCCUGCGGGAGGGAGCAGUGCGGGAUCCUCCGCGAUGGAAGCAGGAGUGACGGAGCGACGACGCGUGAGUGAUGACGGCCUUCACGUUGUGAAGGUCUGUUAGGCGGGACGAAUGGUUCUUGUGCGCAUAGUGCGAGAAUUUGACGGUACCGGAAUAGAAAGCCACGGCUAACUACGUG
Molecule: ribosomal RNA, 510 nt
Filed under: uncultured bacterium
Lineage: Bacteria
Description: partial 16S ribosomal RNA
Rfam family: Bacterial small subunit ribosomal RNA
Source: RNAcentral